GAUGAACGCUGGCGGCGUGCCUAAUACAUGCAAGUCGAGCGAACAGACGCGGAGCUUGUUCCUCUGACGUUAGCGGCGGACGGGUGAGUAACACGUGGAUAACCUACCUAUAAGACUGGGAUAACUUCGGGAAACCGGAGCUAAUACCGGAUAAUAUAUUGAACCGCAUGGUUCAAUAGUGAAAGACGGUUUUGCUGUCACUUAUCGAUGGAUCCGCGCCGCAUUAGCUAGUUGGUAAGGUAACGGCUUACCAAGGCGACGAUGCGUAGCCGACCUGAGAGGGUGAUCGGCCACACUGGAACUGAGACACGGUCCAGACUCCUACGGGAGGCAGCAGUAGGGAAUCUUCCGCAAUGGGCGAAAGCUUGACGGAGCAACGCCGCGUGAGUGAUGAAGGUCUUCGGAUCGUAAAACUCUGUUAUUAGGGAAGAACAAAUGUGUAAGUAACUAUGCACGUCUUGACGGUACCUAAUCAGAAAGCCACGGCUAACUACGUG
Molecule: ribosomal RNA, 497 nt
Filed under: uncultured bacterium
Lineage: Bacteria
Description: partial 16S ribosomal RNA
Rfam family: Bacterial small subunit ribosomal RNA
Source: RNAcentral